Sander lucioperca (pikeperch) is the source of this 281-nucleotide long non-coding RNA. RefSeq lists it as uncharacterized. The transcript has 2 exons. The record is from RefSeq and is a predicted model, not a curated record. NCBI's taxonomy places the organism in Eukaryota, Metazoa, Chordata, Actinopteri, Perciformes, Percidae.
UAUUGUUUCCGGCAGAGAUGUUGUUGCUCAUUGCGCCUCUAUUGUACCUCUGAAGUUGCCGUAGCUUCCGUCUUCUCCUCACAAUACCGUCUUGUGUUGCUGAGGAGCAGAGGUGCAGAUAGAAGGAAACAGUAGAGCAGAAGCCAAUUAAUGUUCUAUUGUCUUCUGCAGGUAUGUGUAUUUCUUUGUUAAACGUUAUACUCUUUUUGUUAUAUGUGCAGUCCCCAAACCCACAUACUGUUUAACUUUGCCCACUGAAACUGUUAAAGUAUAAAAUGUUG